GAACGAGAAAGUGGAGCAAUCCAUGAGUACAGUGGCGUACGGGUGAGUAACACGUGACUAACCUACCCUCGAGUGGGGAAUAACUUCGGGAAACCGAGGCUAAUACCGCAUAACACCGCAAGGUCAAAGCAGCAAUGCGUUUGGAGAGGGGGUCGCGGCUGAUUAGUUAGUUGGCGGGGUAACGGCCCACCAAGACCAUGAUCGGUAGCCGGCCUGAGAGGGCGCACGGCCACACUGGAACUGAAACACGGUCCAGACUCCUACGGGAGGCAGCAGUGGGGAAUUUUGCGCAAUGGGGGAAACCCUGACGCAGCAACGCCGCGUGGAGGAUGAAGCCCUUUGGGGCGUAAACUCCUUUCGAUCGGGACGAUUAUGACGGUACCGGAUGAAGAAGCACCGGCUAACUCUGUG
Molecule: ribosomal RNA, 411 nt
Filed under: uncultured bacterium
Lineage: Bacteria
Description: bacterial SSU rRNA
Rfam family: Bacterial small subunit ribosomal RNA
Source: RNAcentral